GUCAGCACGCUCACACCAGGCCACAACAAUGGCCACCCCCAAUGUCCCAGUCCCUGGAGAGGUCUCACCCCUCACCGAGAUGCACUCAGGGCCUAUUAGGGUAAUGCUGGCCUCAUAGAAUGAGUUAGGAAGUGUUUCUUCUGCAUCUAUAUUCUGGAAGAGAUUGUGGAGAAUUGGUAUAAUUUCCCCCUUAAAUGCUUGGUAGAAUUCACCAGUGAAACCAUCUGAGCCAAUGCUUUCCUGUUUUGAAAGAAGGCUUUUGCUUGGAGAGUUCAGCAAGAGAACAAAAUUAACAGGAAACGUCACUUUCACACACAGAUGGAAAAAUGUUAACAUCUCCUGAAUUCUAUGACAGUCUCCUUGAUGGGAACAUAUAUGUCACCAUAACGUCCCAACGAUGUGCAAACACAUCUUAUGAGCAGGUGCUAAACUGAGGUCACUGCUGGAAGAUGGAAGUUUUGGCAGCACUGAGAACAAAAGAUUCCUCCUAGGUGUAGUUUCAAGCUAAGAAAUAAAAAUCAUGUGUAAGAAAUGUUCCAGGCAGCAUAAAACUUCUGGAUGCUUUCGUGACAAUGUACAGAGGAGGCCUUUUAUUACUUUUCUAUUCAACCUUCAUUUCAUAGAUGAUACAGAAAUCCUACUCCUUACUUAAAGAUUUUGUGAAAUAAAAUAAAAAUUUUCUACUGAUUAAAUAAUGUUGUGACUGUUCCAAAAUGAAAAAUAAAUAUGUGACCCUUGCCCUCCUUGAGGCCUGAUUUCAUAACUGUGAAUUAUGAAAAGAGUACAGAAAUAUGUAGCAGAUUCAUUUUGCUCAAAGGUUCCCU
This is a long non-coding RNA of Diceros bicornis minor, 824 nucleotides long. RefSeq lists it as uncharacterized. The transcript is spliced from 3 exons. The record is from RefSeq and is a predicted model, not a curated record. NCBI's taxonomy places the organism in Eukaryota, Metazoa, Chordata, Mammalia, Perissodactyla, Rhinocerotidae.